This 483-nucleotide ribosomal RNA is filed under the name uncultured bacterium. Its description in RNAcentral is "partial 16S ribosomal RNA". It matches the Rfam family "Bacterial small subunit ribosomal RNA", at positions 30 to 506 of the family's 1533-position model. The record is from RNAcentral.
AUUGAACGCUGGCGGCAGGCCUAACACAUGCAAGUCGAGCGGAUGAAGGGAGCUUGCUCCUGGAUUCAGCGGCGGACGGGUGAGUAAUGCCUAGGAAUCUGCCUGGUAGCGGGGGAUAACGUCCGGAAACGGGCGCUAAUACCGCAUACGUCCUGAGGGAGAAAGUGGGGGAUCCUCGGACCUCACGCUAUCAGAUGAGCCUAGGUCGGAUUAGCUAGUUGGUGGGGUAAAGGCCUACCAAGGCGACGAUCCGUAACUGGUCUGAGAGGAUGAUCAGUCACACUGGAACUGAGACACGGUCCAGACUCCUACGGGAGGCAGCGGUGGGGAAUAUUGGACAAUGGGCGAAAGCCUGAUCCAGCCAUGCCGCGUGUGUGAAGAAGGUCUUCGGAUUGUAAAGCACUUUAAGUUGGGAGGAAGGGCAGUAAGUUAAUACCUUGCUGUUUUGACGUUACCAACAGAAUAAGCACCGGCUAACUUCGU